GAGGAGGCGUGGUCAUCUGAGAAGAGCAGUGCCCAGAGAGUGUCGGGCCAGAUUUUAGGGUCGUAACCCGAACCUACCUACCUUAGUCUGCAUUUUGAAUGUGUAACAUUGGACAUAGAGAUACAGCGAGAAGGAGUGAAAUCUCUCCAGAUGACUGGUGGCGGAUGGCCAGUUAGAGAAAGAUGGCUUGGAGACAGAUUAAUGCAAAGUCCUUUGUUCCUGAGACUGAUGACCCGAGUUCAGUCCUUGAGACUCACAUCAUGGAGAUAAACCCGGAGAAAGCUUUCUGUGCUUGGAGAUUUUUUCCUUGCAUGACUGGGUGGAGGAGGGCAGUAUAGGUGCCCAGCGUGCGCAAGAGAAAGACAAGGCUGACGCAGCGGGCAGGGACAUGGAGUGAGAGCACUGGAGGUAGGUAUGUCUGCUCCUCAUCAGAGUGGGGCUGCCUCCGGCUCUGCCGCAUUGGUCUAAGCAAGUAUCUGGACAUAGAGAGGGCCAUGCUUUAAAAAGGCUGCCACUGGUGUUGUUAAUAGGACCGUAAAUGUCUUCGCCCGUGGUCCCACCUGAAACAUACUGCUCAUUUGAGAUAUUUGUUCAAUAAAUAAUAUGGCUUUUUUUUUUCUGGAGCACACACAGCCCUAGGAUGCAAGAAGCCAAUGAUUUCUGUUGACUCUCCCUUCGCUUCUCCAGUUCAGAGCUAUUCUCUUUCCUACCCGGACCUCUGCCUCUUGUUCUGCUAUUGAAAUGAAUAUACUCUCAAUUUCUUACCACACUC
This is a long non-coding RNA of Apodemus sylvaticus (European woodmouse), 772 nucleotides long. RefSeq lists it as uncharacterized. NCBI's taxonomy places the organism in Eukaryota, Metazoa, Chordata, Mammalia, Rodentia, Muridae. The record is from RefSeq and is a predicted model, not a curated record. The transcript is spliced from 3 exons.